UUGGUGCAAAAAUGAGCCUAGUAAAUUUUCAUUUUUUUUAUUUUUUUGAUUUUUUUAUUAUUUUUCACUCUUUUUUUAUUUAAAGCAUUACUUGAGUGAAAAGAAACACAUUGCAACCAAUUGGCAUUAAAAUAAAUCAAUUUUAUUUUUUUUGCAAAAUUUCCCAAAAAAAACGUAAGGGGUAAGCCUUAUGAAAUUUUCGAGUGGAAAAUUUUUUUGAAAUUUUUUUUCUGAUUUUUUAUUCUUUUUUUAAUUUAAAGCAUUAUUUGAGUGAAAAGAAACACAUUGCAAACGAAUUCGCAAUAAAAUAUAUCACAUUUAAAAUUUUUGCUGAAUUGCUCAAAAAUGAGGAAAAUUUUACAUUUUCUCAAACAGGGUAAGGAACUUGGUUCCUCGAAUAACUUCUGGCACAUACAUCUGAGGGCAUGGCCGCCCAAGAAGAAAAUGUAGCCAUUGGUGCCAUCUAUCGACCACAGGUUAACGAUUGGCGAUCUGUUGGAUACCGACCGAGUUAUAGGCAAAAUUGGGUGCAAAAAUGAGGAAAAUUUUACAUUUUAUCAAACAGGGUAAGGAACUUGGUUUCUCGAAUAACUUCUGGCACAGACAUGUGAGGGCAUGGCCGUCCAAGAAUAAAAUGUAGCCAUUGUUGCCAUCUAUCGACCACAGGUUAAAGAUUGGCGAUCCGUUGGAUACCGACCGAGUUAUAGCCAAAAUUUGGUGCAAAAAUGAGCCUUAGUAAAUUUUCAUUUUUUUGAUUUUUUUGAUUUUUUUAUUAUUUUUCACUCUUUUUUUUAUUUAA
Anopheles funestus (African malaria mosquito) is the source of this 799-nucleotide long non-coding RNA. RefSeq lists it as uncharacterized. The transcript is spliced from 2 exons. The record is from RefSeq and is a predicted model, not a curated record. Lineage: Eukaryota; Metazoa; Arthropoda; Insecta; Diptera; Culicidae.